This 76-nucleotide transfer RNA is filed under the name Gammaproteobacteria bacterium. RNAcentral describes it as "tRNA-Ala". It matches the Rfam family "tRNA". From Rfam's summary of the family: Transfer RNA (tRNA) molecules are approximately 80 nucleotides in length. Their secondary structure includes four short double-helical elements and three loops (D, anti-codon, and T loops). The record is from RNAcentral. Lineage: Bacteria; Pseudomonadati; Pseudomonadota; Gammaproteobacteria.
GGGGCUGUAGCUCAGCUGGGAGAGCACCUGCUUUGCACGCAGGGGGUCAGGAGUUCGAUUCUNCUCAGCUCCACCA